GCCUCCUGUUGGACGUGAGAUGUGUCCAAGCAUCAGCCCCUUUCGCUUAAGAAAAACUCUUUAACUUCCACGCAGCCGACAGGCAGGCUUUUCUAAGAUCCUGUGGACCCAACAUUGUAUCGAUAGAGUUAUAUCUUUUUAUUUAUAUAUACAUAGACACACACAGGUGUGUAUGCGUAUGUGUGUUUGUACGUAUGUAUAUAGAGAGACAGAAAUAGAUAAAUUAAAGCCGCAGCUCUGUUGCAAGCUCCUCUAAAAUUUCCUGCUCGCCAGAGUAGCUCUCUGCAUCGUUUUGUUAAAUACAGCCCGGCGGGAAAGCCAUCAUCAGUCAAUUUCGGGUAACAAGGAAGACUUGUUGAACACCUUGUUCUCCAGACCCCGGGAAGAUGCUGGGCUGCUGGAGCGUGGAAGAGCCAGGAUUGUGCCCUGAACUUCACCCACUUGGCAGCCGCUAUUCAUAAACCAUUUCCCCUUUCCUCCCCUGCCUCUGCCUCCCGGACUGGGAAUCUGCUCUUUAAAGUUGACCUGAAGGGGAAAGCAGAGACGAGCUUGUGCAUAGUUUGGAGGUUAUCUUUGAACAGACCUGGACUCCUUAGAAAAAAAAGUGUUGUUUUGAUUUGCUGAACGAGUUGCAGUUCAUUUUGGAUCUCACAUAUUUCUUCUGCAUCUGGACUAGAACAUUCAACCGGCUGAAAAGGCACUUUAACGUGAAAGCGUUGUUAUUUUCAGAGGAACAUCUUAUUCUGCAGCCUUCCAGAUUCAGGGAUACAUGAAGACUCUAACUUUGACAGGAGUUCGUGUGUAUUCUAGCGUUAAAAGAAAUCCUGAAAUGAUAGAUGUGAAAUACUCAAAGGAUCUAAAAUAA
Long non-coding RNA from Falco peregrinus (peregrine falcon), 865 nucleotides. RefSeq lists it as uncharacterized. Lineage: Eukaryota; Metazoa; Chordata; Aves; Falconiformes; Falconidae. The record is from RefSeq and is a predicted model, not a curated record. The transcript has 3 exons.